GCUCCCUUUGGCAGCACACAAAAAUGGAAUGAUAAAAGUUUGGUAUGGCCCCUGUGCAAGGAUGAUGUGCAAAUUUAUGAAGUGUUCCAUGUUUUU
RNAcentral lists this small nuclear RNA (96 nucleotides) under Suricata suricatta (meerkat). The record is from RNAcentral. Lineage: Eukaryota; Metazoa; Chordata; Mammalia; Carnivora; Herpestidae.